RNAcentral lists this long non-coding RNA (214 nucleotides) under Elaeis guineensis (African oil palm). Its description in RNAcentral is "long non-coding RNA (EGUI_LNC030604)". Lineage: Eukaryota; Viridiplantae; Streptophyta; Magnoliopsida; Arecales; Arecaceae. The record is from RNAcentral.
AUAUAGUCUCACCAAAAUAGUGGGACCUAGAUAUUGGUCACCGAUGAGCGAAGCCAUCCAAAAAUUUAUCGUGCUAUAUUUAAAGAAAUGUGGCUCUAUUGGUGUUGUAUCUUUCGUGCCCGAAAAUAAUUGAUGUUCUUUCAUGAAAUCAGCCACUAGAUCAUGUCUCACAUAUAUCUCAAAUACUCUGCACUUUUUUUCAUCAGUCUACACA